This 586-nucleotide ribosomal RNA is filed under the name uncultured bacterium. RNAcentral's name for it is "partial 16S ribosomal RNA". It matches the Rfam family "Bacterial small subunit ribosomal RNA", at positions 355 to 1363 of the family's 1533-position model. The record is from RNAcentral.
UGGGGAAUUUUGGACAAUGGGCGAAAGCCUGAUCCAGCAAUGCCGCGUGUGUGAAGAAGGCCUUCGGGUUGUAAAGCACUUUUGUCCGGAAAGAAAUCCUUGGCUCUAAUACAGUCGGGGGAUGACGGUACCGGAAGAGUAAGCACCGGCUAACUACGUGCCAGCAGCCGCGGUAAUACGUAGGGUGCAAGCGUUAAUCGGAAUUACUGGGCGUAAAGCGUGCGCAGGCGGUUUGCUAAGACCGAUGUGAAAUCCCCGGGCUCAACCUGGGAACUGCAUUGGUGACUGGCAGGCUAGAGUAUGGCAGAGGGGGGUAGAAUUCCACGUGUAGCAGUGAAAUGCGUAGAGUGUGGAGGAAUACCGAUGGCGAAGGCAGCCCCCUGGGCCAAUACUGACGCUCAUGCACGAAAGCGUGGGGAGCAAACAGGAUUAGAUACCCUGGUAGUCCACGCCCUAAACGAUGUCAACUAGUUGUUGGGGGAUUCAUUUCCUUAGUAACGUAGCUAACGCGUGAAGUUGACCGCCUGGGGAGUACGGUCGCAAGAUUAAAACUUAAAGNGAUUGACGGGGUCAUNGCUGUUUCCUG